Molecule: long non-coding RNA, 1450 nt
Organism: Bolinopsis microptera
Lineage: Eukaryota; Metazoa; Ctenophora; Tentaculata; Lobata; Bolinopsidae
Exons: 3
Source: RefSeq, a predicted model, not a curated record
UCACACGCUUUAAUUUGUCCGAAAGUAACUGUAUUAUUGCACAUUGCGAUUAUGUUAUUAAGUAAUCGCUAGAGGGUAUUUAGUGCUACUGAAUUAGUGGAACUGUUAGUGGAACUGUUAGUGGAACUGUGUACUAAUCUUGUAGAUUGAUUUUUCUAAUUAUAGUAUAGCUUCAAGCAGUGAACCAGAAUUUUCGAGAUUAAAUUAAGUAAAACAAAUAUCAUUAUUACUAGCUGAACCAGAAUUUCCCUUGGGAUGUAAUGCUUUCCUGACGAAGGUUCUUGUAUGCUGGCAUGAUAACAACCGAUUAUAUGGGCUGAAAGUGGAAUAUGUGAAGCUAAAGGAAUGUUUUAUCUCUAUAAUCACUAAUGAUAUCCGCUGUGCGAGAGCCGUGGAUAGUGAGGGGUCUGAGACAGUGAGACAUGCACUCCGUAUUAACCGGAAACUAACGUUCGAAGGAAAAAAGAAUAUCCAGACUCAACACUGACAACACUCUUGGAGUAUUCAAAGACAGGACAACACUUGUUAUGCUCCAGCUCUACAAAUCCCCAGAGUGGAGUACUGCUGCCCGCUUUGGAAUCAAAACAAGAUCUAUGAUGUCCAGUCUUUCGAGAGCAUACAACGCUAGUUCACCAGACGGAUUCUAGGGCUCUAGAGACACCGAUUAAAUGGAAUAGACUGAAGGAACUGAAACUUACAUCACUGCAAAGACGCCGAGAACGCUACACCAUCAUACAUCUGUGGAAAGUUCUCCAGGGAAUAUGUCCAAAUGUUCUAGAUGUACAGUUCAGAGAGAAUGCCAGACUGGGAGUUAAAGUUAUACUCCCUUCUCUCACCAAACAAGCAUCAGCUGCUACACGCUCCACCUACGACCACUCAUUCGCAGUAAGAGCUGGAAGACUCUGGAAUGUUCUCCCCAAAAUUGUCAAUACUCAAAGGACUUUGACAAGCUUCAAGACAUCUCUUGGAAACUUCCUAGACACCCUUCCAGAAUCCAGACAAGCCCCUACUCCUGGAUACAGUGCAGAAAACUCGAUUUCUACAGACAUAGCGGAGUUCUACAGUUACUAGCUACGAGUCCACAUGGAUCGAGAUCUCAUCAAUCCUACCUUCGCUCACUACAAAUGGACUCCACCAAGAUGCUGCUUCCCCGGAGUUCAACAUAGCUGAAGGAUUGCUCCACGGCCUCUACUGCACUCAAUGUUAUCCUUUUCAAACCUUACUAUCUGGAAAUUUCUGGACUGUCUGAAGGCGGAGCAGGACAUAACAUAUGUGAAACUCACGAAGAGACUGUGCAGAGAACGUCCUAGCCGAGGAGCAGCAAAGUGGAUCUUAAGUAUGACGAGAGACUGCAGACUGUUAACUUGAUUUUCUUAAAGUUAUUGGAUGUAUGAUUUGAAUUUAUGAUAUAAUGAAUUUGUGAUUUAAAUUUAUUAACAUGACUUUCAAA